GCAUUUGCCUAUCUGUUCACAGUUUUAGAGUGCAUAAGGUGCGCCCUCGCAGGGAUGUAUGCAGACAUUCCAUUUGUCUGUGAUGCAGCUUAUAUUCAAAUACCUUAUGAUUAAUGGCUGCCAACAUAUGUUUCUUAUUCCUUUUAGAAAGAACUUUGAGUGCUAGCACUUGCUGACCUUACUGGUUUCAUGCCUCUCCCAAGAAUCAAAGUGCUAGCAAGCAUUUUAGAAAGAACAUUGAGGCUGGUUGGAACUGAAAAUGAUCACUCUCUUUUGGAUUGCCUCAAGGCCUGUAAAACUUAAAUCUUUUUUUUUUCUAUCAUUCCUAGCAUUAUUUUCCUUUUAGCACCUUCUACAUUACUCUUUCUUGCCUGCUCUGUGCUGUCUCCACUCUUUCUUGCCUGCUCUGGGCGAGUUUUAUAAAUUGGUUUUCAUAUGAUAACCGACCUGCCCAUUUACUGACUAGGAAUAACUUUGUAAGCAAUUUUGGGCCCGAUCCAUGUUUGUGAAGCAAACAAAUCAUAUUGGCCGGGAAAUUCAAAGUUUGAAUCAAACAAGUAAAUCAUCUAAGACUUUCCAAGGAUUAGCCACUGAACCACUAGUUGUUUUACGCUAUGGGUUCGGGAUAUACAACAAUAAAAAGACGUAAAAAUGGCAUGUGGUAAUCAUUAGUGAAGGUGACAUUUAUUUUUUAUCUAGCAAUUUUAAUGUUGAG
RNAcentral lists this long non-coding RNA (715 nucleotides) under Nicotiana benthamiana. Its description in RNAcentral is "long non-coding RNA (NBEN_LNC027178)". The record is from RNAcentral. Lineage: Eukaryota; Viridiplantae; Streptophyta; Magnoliopsida; Solanales; Solanaceae.